This 434-nucleotide ribosomal RNA is filed under the name uncultured bacterium. Its description in RNAcentral is "bacterial SSU rRNA". It matches the Rfam family "Bacterial small subunit ribosomal RNA", at positions 954 to 1386 of the family's 1533-position model. The record is from RNAcentral.
GCAGAACGCGAAGAACCUUACCUACUCUUGACAUCCACGGAACUUAGCAGAGAUGCUUUGGUGCCUUCGGGAACCGUGAGACAGGUGCUGCAUGGCUGUCGUCAGCUCGUGUUGUGAAAUGUUGGGUUAAGUCCCGCAACGAGCGCAACCCUUAUCCUUUGUUGCCAGCGGUCCGGCCGGGAACUCAAAGGAGACUGCCAGUGAUAAACUGGAGGAAGGUGGGGAUGACGUCAAGUCAUCAUGGCCCUUACGAGUAGGGCUACACACGUGCUACAAUGGCGCAUACAAAGAGAAGCGACCUCGCGAGAGCAAGCGGACCUCAUAAAGUGCGUCGUAGUCCGGAUUGGAGUCUGCAACUCGACUCCAUGAAGUCGGAAUCGCUAGUAAUCGUAGAUCAGAAUGCUACGGUGAAUACGUUCCCCCGGGUCUUGUAC